RNAcentral lists this long non-coding RNA (1224 nucleotides) under Sarcophilus harrisii (Tasmanian devil). Its description in RNAcentral is "lncRNA (ENSSHAG00000021173.1)". The record is from RNAcentral. Lineage: Eukaryota; Metazoa; Chordata; Mammalia; Dasyuromorphia; Dasyuridae.
CAUUUUUAUUUUCAAAACAUAUGCAAGGAUAAUUUUCAUCACUGACCUUUGCAAAAACCCUGUAUUCUAAUUUCCUCCCCUUCUCUCCACCCCCUUUCCUAGAUGGCAAGUAAUCCAAUAUAUAUUAGACAUGGUAAAAAUAUAUAUAAAUCCAAUAUAGGCAUCUGUAGUUAUACAAUGAUCUUGCUGCACAAGAAAAAUCUGAUCAAAAAGGAAGAAAAAUGAGAAAGAAAAUAAAAUUCAAGCAAACAACAACAAAAGAAAUGAAAAUGCUAUGUUGUGAACCACGCUCAGUUCCCACACUCUGGAUGUAGAUGGCUCUCUUCAUCACAAGAUCACUGGAACUGACCUGAAUCAUCUCCCAAUUUCAUUAUCUCUAUUCUAAUCAAGAUCACUAGAAUUCUUUUGAAGUAGAGAGGAAGCUGUAAACUGGAUAAUUUUGUAAACUUUUUGAGAUUGAAUAUAACUAGCAACUUUAAAGACUAUCCUACUUUUUCAGUUCCUUGCAUUCUUCCCCAAGGUAGGAUAUUGUACUUUAAACCAAGUGCAAUUUGUAUAUCUUUGUGUUUCUCAUAGUGUCCAUGAGUCUCUGUGUGGGAGCAAGCACAGUUAAGUGACUUGCCCAGGGUCACACAGCUGGUUACUAUCUGAGGCAGGAUUUGAACUCAGGUCCUCCUGACUCUGGGACCAGUGCUACUGCCCUUAGCACAAAUAUCAGAUUCUUCUAUAGUUCAUGGAAAUUUGGGUUUUUCUGGAAGACAUCUCUUCUUUGGCCAACCUUUCCAACAACUGGAGUUCCUUUUUUUAGGGCUUUAACACAUAGAACCAGGAGGGGCAAGGUGAUUCUCUCCUCACUGCCUCUGCCAAACCCUGGACCUCUCUACCAUAAUAAGCAUUCACUUGACAUUCAGUUCAUCCACUUAAAUGCAAUAAUAUUGCAUUACUUUAAUAUACCACAAUUUGUUUAGUCAUUUUGUUUAACUGGCAUUUACUUUGUUUUCAUUUUUUUGUUACCACAAAAAAAAGAGCUGUAAUAAAUAUUUUGGUGUAUAUGGGGGCCUUCCUUUUAUCGAUGAUCUCCUUAGAAUAUGUCUAGUAGAGCAACCUCUGGGUCAAAGGGCAUAGAUAUUUUAGUCACUUUAUUUGUGUAAUUCCAAAUUGCUUUCCAAAAUGGUUGCACUGAUUCAAAUAGCUUCACCAACGAUGAACUAGUCUAUCUAUUUU